GACGAACGCUGGCGGCGUGCCUAAUACAUGCAAGUAGAACGCUGACGGAGGAACUUGCUUCUCCGGAUGAGUUGCGGACGGGUGAGUAACGCGUAUGUAACCUGCCUUGUAUCGGGGGAGAACUAUUGGAAACGAUAGCUAAUACCGCAUAACAGUAGAUAUUGCAUGAUAUCUGCUUGAAAUUUGCACUUGCAUCACUACCAUAUGGACCUGCGUUGUAAUAGCUAGUUGGGGGGGUAAAGGCUCACCAAGGCGAAGAUACAUAGCCGACCUGAGAGGGUGGACCACCACAAUGGGAACGGGACAACGGCCAGAAUUCUUAGGGGAGGAGCAGGAGGGGAUCAUUGGACAUGGACGGAAGUCUGAACGAGCAAAGACGGGGUAGGGGAGAAGGGUUUCGGAUCGGUAAGCUCUGUUGUAAGGGAAGAAAGAGCGUGAGAGUGGAAAGUUCACGCUGUGACGGUAUCUUACGAGAAAGCGACGGCUAACUACGUG
This 495-nucleotide ribosomal RNA is filed under the name uncultured bacterium. RNAcentral describes it as "partial 16S ribosomal RNA". It matches the Rfam family "Bacterial small subunit ribosomal RNA", at positions 28 to 507 of the family's 1533-position model. The record is from RNAcentral.